ACACCAGAAUUGCCUAGCUACAGGGCGCCGCCAUUGUGGACACCCAAAGUUGUGCGGAGAAGAAAAGUUGACAGGAGAUCUGAUUGGUCAUUAACAGAAAAUCUUUGUGAUGGAAUUUAAUAGUGAAAUAUAAGUGAUAAAAAUGACAGGUGACAUAACAGAAUAUGUAGAAAGAUACAGAAGUUAUAAGGGAAGAUCUGAGUGGAGAGGUGAUAUUUGGAUGGACAAUUUCAUUCAGUGCGGAUCUACACUAGUUGUUAACAGGCCAAAAUUUGAAGGAAAAACGCAACGGCAAGCCAUAUAUUUUUUGGUGGAAUUUUGAAGGGGAGAUGAUGAACUUUGCUGAAUGGUGACUGAUUUUUUGAAAAUUGGCUUAAUAAAUAAUUGACAGUGAUUGGAAUUUGUAUGGAAGUCUAUGGGAAAACAUUUGGUGGUGUUUGUCCUAUACUGAGGUAGCGAGAACCAGUUUAUGAGGGGUCUUGGCCGAAGCAGUCGGUGGCACCCAGGCCUGAGCAUCAUUUCCUGCUCCUCGCACAGAGAGGGUGGAUGCGUCACCAGUUGUAGGGUUUCCCUGUCAACUCUCGUGAAUGGUGCAGAGAAGACUCGGCUGGAGGUGGGGUGUUGGUUGACAUGAGGAUUUUACGAAGAGAAGAACUGCCAAUGGGGGUUUGACUGAGACCUAUUUGUAGGCCAUAGUUUAUUGCUGCUGCUUUCCUUCCCCUGGAACCGGAUUCUACUUCGACAUAGAGGCUAUACAUUUUGGACACGUAGGUGCAGGUGUUACAUUUAAGCCGUAACCUAGUGCCCAGGUCACGCCUCUCUUCAGAGUCCAAGUCCCAGGUUACGUCACCAUCACAGCCUGGAUUGGCCCGCCCAUGUUCUUUGAACUCUGCGUUGAACAUGCCACAUGUCUUUUCCAGAUGCAGCAGUCUGUAGGAGUCAUUUUCACACCUGCCGAAAUCAGUUAUGUACCUGAUUACUUCCUAACCAGGCAAGUUCAUUUUCAGAAAUUAGAGUUACUUCCCUUUGACUAUACUUGUUCUCAAAGUUGAGUCAAGAGGCUCAUCACAGUCCCUAACAACUGUUUUUUGUAACUUUCUCUUCGUAUGAAUGAACAAUUAUUGUAAUGUUGCUAUAAUUUAGAGAGUUUAUUAAUUAUAAAAUUAAUUAAGCUAAUUAAAUUUACAGGAUCUUAGGGAUACCCCUUAUUUCAGCCAAUUUGGCCAUAUGUGGGCCUAUUCUGAGAAUUAGAAAAAAUAUUUUCUACUCAAAGAGGUUUUGUUUCAUAAUUUAAGAAAGUUAGAAGAAUUGUAAUCGUUACCCUGAGGAUUCAGCCUGAUUUAAAGUCUCAUGGUUUCCUUCCUUUUUCAGGGGUCUUGGCCGAAGCAGUCGGUGGCACCCAGGCCUGAGCAUCAUUUCCUGCUCCUCGCACAGAGAGGGUGGAUGCGUCACCAGUUGUAGGGUUUCCCUGUCAACUCUCGUGAAUGGUGCAGGAAAAACACCAGAAUUGCCUAGCUACAGGGCGCCGCCAUUGUGGACACCCAAAGUUGUGCGGAGAAGAAAAGUUGACAGGAGAUCUGAUUGGUCAUUAACAGAAAAUCUUUGUGAUGGAAUUUAAUAGUGAAAUAUAAGUGAUAAAAAUGACAGGUGACAUAACAGAAUAUGUAGAAA
This is a long non-coding RNA of Ostrea edulis (European flat oyster), 1671 nucleotides long. RefSeq lists it as uncharacterized. NCBI's taxonomy places the organism in Eukaryota, Metazoa, Mollusca, Bivalvia, Ostreida, Ostreidae. The record is from RefSeq and is a predicted model, not a curated record. The transcript has 4 exons.